CUGAGGUUUCCUGGACGUUGCGUUCGGGAGGCGGGGCCGGGACCCGCUGACGGCAGUUUCCCAGCCCUGUUCCCCCUCCCCUGCCCCCUCAGCCUGCGGGCAGCAGAAGGCGGCGGCCAGCCUCCUCCUGCCCCUCGGCCGGACGAACCGCGGCUGCCGCGCCUGUCACCUCUGCACCUGCCCGGCUGAGGUGAGAUGCCUGGCGCGCAAGUAGAAAAAUCUGAAAUUUGAAACAGAAAUGGCCACAUAAGGACAACUCAGAUGAAGUGCAGGCGGGCUGACAUCGCGCACUUGGGUCUUUCCGGGAAAGACAGCCGCGCUCUGGGAGAAGCCUAGUCCUCCGGCUUGUCCCCGGACCCGCCCCAAAGGCCGCUGGGAGCUCGGUGAGGACGUGGCGGUCCCCUUGCUCAUCUGACUCCGGAGGCAGGUUCCGCAGAAAGAGCUCUCAAUCUCGGCCGCUGGGCUCCAAGAUAAUCUCCUGGCGAAAGCUAAGAGGCGGCCAUCCCUUCCCGGGGACUCAGCCCCUAGAUUCAGCUUCUUCCGCCGCAAAAAACUCCCAAGCCCUGCGAACUCGCAACUUGCCUCUCCAGGCUUCCGGCGUGGGCGUCCCAGCUACACUUUCGAGCACUUUGCUUGGCCGGCAUCUACCCGCUCUUCGAUUAAGGAAAGCGCAGUGGGGACAGAGGCAACUCCUGCCUCCUGUACCAGGCCUACGUAGUCGCCCAGGUGGCCGGGUCACAAAUAAACAAUUCCACCAUCAAGAAACCCGCUAACCUCUGUACCCCGCUAACCUCUGAAAACCUAAUACUGAUCCAGGUCUCCCAAAUAAUCUGAAUCUCCCCCAGUCCUUCCGGUGGAACAGCUAGCCUGAGCGCAGGGAAAAUUGACAAGGAGCCUUCAGCUAGCCUUCUAGCUUUGAGCUUGAGUAGGGGCAUGGCUACUUGGUGGCUUCUUUGCGGUUUAUUGGUGUAUUUGGUGACUCUACAGAUCCAGAUCAGCCCCCACCCCACUCUUCCUCACCACGCCUCCCCACCCCCACCCCACCACCGCAAGUUGGUGUCUCUAGAAGAGCCUCAGGGUUCUGAGUCCCGUGGGGGCGCUCAGAGAUGGUCAAAGCAAGGUUUCUCCACAAGCUCUGAACUCUGAAGCUACACGCUUCUCCGCUGCGCACCCUGCCAAACUGGUGGGGAAGAGAUGUUAAAAUACAAUGGCAAAAUGCACUGUUGAGAACCCUUUGAAGUUGGGCAACCACGGCUGCGCCACUCUCCCCCUCUCUUUCCUCCCCAUCUCCCCACUCCUCCAGAUGCACCAGAAAUCGGCACUUUGAUCUUGCAAAGCAGCAAUUUAUAUUUAUUUAAUUUUUUUUUCCU
RNAcentral lists this long non-coding RNA (1370 nucleotides) under Homo sapiens (human). Its description in RNAcentral is "HSALNT0294961". Lineage: Eukaryota; Metazoa; Chordata; Mammalia; Primates; Hominidae. The record is from RNAcentral.